CUCGCAGCGCGGGGGCGAAAAGGGACACACAGAGCCCUUCCCGGCUGUGGACAGGAGCUGCCUCGGCUGAAGCUGGAGACGCCAACGAAAGGUGGAGAACGGCCUAGAGUCUGGAGCUGCAGAAGAGGCAGGGCGGAGAGGAGGGGAAAGAAGCAUCUGAACGGCUAAAUUGUGCCAGCAGCGCUGAGAGCGAGAGUCGCGAGACCGUGCUGAGGACGUGGUUGUCUGUCCUUCCCCCGGGGAUGCCGUUGACUGCAGCCGUCUCAGGCUCGCGUGGCUUCUCUCUGCCCGGUGUUGCCAUCCUCGCAGCGCGGGGGCGAAAAGGGACACACAGAGCCCUUCCCGGCUGUGGACAGGAGCUGCCUCGGCUGAAGCUGGAGACGCCAACGAAAGGUGGAGGACGGCCUAGAGUCUGGAGCUGCAGAAGAGGCAGGGCGGAGAGGAGGGGAAAGAAGCAUCUGAACGGCUAAAUUGUGCCAGCAGCGCUGAGAGCGAGAGUCGCGAGACCGUGCUGAGGACGUGGUUGUCUGUCCUUCCCCCGGGGAUGCCGUUGACUGCAGCCGUCUCAGGCUUGCGUGGCUUCUCUC
Phalacrocorax carbo (great cormorant) is the source of this 587-nucleotide non-coding RNA. The record is from RefSeq and is a predicted model, not a curated record. Lineage: Eukaryota; Metazoa; Chordata; Aves; Suliformes; Phalacrocoracidae.